Molecule: ribosomal RNA, 498 nt
Filed under: uncultured bacterium
Lineage: Bacteria
Description: partial 16S ribosomal RNA
Rfam family: Bacterial small subunit ribosomal RNA
Source: RNAcentral
ACUCAAAUGAAUUGACGGGGACCCGCACAAGCGGUGGAUGAUGUGGUUUAAUUCGAUGCAACGCGAAAAACCUUACCUACCUUUGACAUGUACGGAACUCGCCAGAGAUGGCUUGGUGCUCGAAAGAGAACCGUAACACAGGUGCUGCAUGGCUGUCGUCAGCUCGUGUCGUGAGAUGUUGGGUUAAGUCCCGCAACGAGCGCAACCCUUGUCAUUAGUUGCUACAUUCAGUUGGGCACUCUAAUGAGACUGCCGGUGACAAACCGGAGGAAGGUGGGGAUGACGUCAAGUCCUCAUGGCCCUUAUAGGUAGGGCUACACACGUCAUACAAUGGAUGGUACAAAGGGUCGCCAACCCGCGAGGGGGAGCCAAUCCCAUAAAGCCAUUCGUAGUCCGGAUCGCAGUCUGCAACUCGACUGCGUGAAGUCGGAAUCGCUAGUAAUCGUGGAUCAGAAUGUCACGGUGAAUACGUUCCCGGGUCUUGUACACACCGCCCGU